Doryrhamphus excisus (bluestripe pipefish) is the source of this 4676-nucleotide non-coding RNA. The record is from RefSeq and is a predicted model, not a curated record. Lineage: Eukaryota; Metazoa; Chordata; Actinopteri; Syngnathiformes; Syngnathidae.
GCAGCAGGAAGUAAGUAGACAGAGCGGCAAGUUGUUACUAGCUCUUUGUGCAUCAUAUCAACAAAUACGGUCCUGGCCUAGAAGAAGCAGGAUGGACUGAGCAUUGAGGAGCAGACCCCAGCAGGGCAGACAGAACAACAGCAAUAUGAUGACGCCUCGCUGAAGGAUCACGCCCACACGUAAUACAUGCUUUUCAUUGGACGGUAUGAAUAAUCACAUCAUGGAGAAAACCAAAUUGAAGCCUUGAGCACUCACAGCAGAUGCUAGUCCAUAGCCGGCCAUCACCUCGUUCCUCAGACGGCCACAGAACAUUGUAAUCACAAAAGGAAGUAAAUAAUUGAGGAUUCGAGAGAUGAGCUAAAAAGAAGACAUGAAAAAGACAUGUUGUCACUUAUCAAUCAUGUGAUCUUGGCAUGUUGUGCUCGCAGAUCCUUACAAGGGGCCCCAUCAUUCUCAAGAGAUGGUACAGUUCGUCCCUGAUGUUCCGGGGAAUCGUGCGCCGCAGCCAGCUGCAGCAGAACAUCUUGUCACUGGCUGCCUCCUCCAUGUUUGCCAGAAGUGUUUCCCAAGUACUGCACUUCCUUUUCUUCUUACCUCUGUUUUACAAACUUUGGUUACUAAUUCAUAGAGAGGCUGUCAUUUCCCAUUGGAGCUGCUCGAGCAGAGCAGAAAAGUCCAUCUAGAUAAUCAGGAGUCACCACGUCCUGCCAAUGUUGUAAUCUUAUUUCACUUAUCUGGUAAGGACUUCUGGAGGUGAAGGAAUUUGGGAGAGGCCUUCUCUUAGCCAAUCACUGCAGAAGGGCAAUGAUGAUAAUGAUCCACUGGGGUCGCGGGUAUGCUGGAGCCUAUCCCAGCAAGGGCCGGGGUUCACCCUGGACUGGUCUCCAGCUAAUCACAGGGCACAUAUACACAAAUAAUCAUUCACACAUUCAUACCUACGGAGUGGCCAUUUAUGUGGGAGGAAACCGGAAUACCGGGAGAAAACUCAUACACAAACUCCACAAACUCAGCAAACUCUGUGGAGAUCCAAUUCCAGGUCUUUCCAAUGUCCUGACUGUGUGGUCUACAUGCUAACCACUUGGCCACCAAAUACCAUGAAAGAAAAAAAAUCAGCAAUUCAAAACACAUAACGGAAAAUGUAAACAAUAAUGUCUUGUGUUGACUCAUGCUACUCACUACGGUUAGAAAAAAGGACGUACACAUAGAAAUAAAAAAAAUGCUGUAUUUUGUAAACCCCAAUCAAGUGGUUUCCGAACGUUCCGACAGUGGCGUACCCCUUCAGCAUUUCACCUGAAUCCAUGUACCCACUAAUCUUGCACGCUUAAAAAAAACAUACGCUCAUCUUAAAUGACUUAAAAUAUUCAACAUAAUUAAUAGUUUAGCAAUUCAUAGACAAAAAGUGUGUAUUUUGAGUGGUGACAGUUGGAUAAAGUUUGUCAAAUGCGAACUGAUAAAUAGAUAAGUGAUCCUCCUACGUAUUGUUUAUUCCAGUCUGAUCAUGGCAUCCUUAUGUUUGAAUGGCUUCAAUUGUUUUUGUCAGUAUUAUGUACUUUGGGCUGCAUGUGCAUGUUAGGUGUGAUUCCUGUAAUUUUCAAGUGUAUGUCAAUGCAGGAGCAACUUGUGCUCGAGUAAUUACACAAUGUACAUGAAUGCACCAUUCCAAAAACACUGACUGUGUAUUCAAUCAAAAACCAGAAAAAAAAUAAAAACAACCGACUGGCAGAAAAUAUCCCUAAGAUUUCUUAAUUAAAAGUGUGUAUUUUGAGUGGUGACAGUUGGAUAAAGUUUGACAUGCGGACUGAUAAAUAGAUAAGUGAUCCUCCUACGUAUCGUUUAUUCCAGUCUGAUCAUGGCAUCCUUACGUUUGAAUGGCUUCAAUUGUUGUUUUUGUCACUAUUAUGUACUUUGGGCUGCAUGUGCAUGUUAGGUGUGUUUCUUGUAAUUUUCAAGUGUAUGUCAAUGCAGGAGCAACUUGUGCUCGAGUAAUUACACGAUGCAUAUGAAUGCACCAUUCCAAAAACAUUGACUGUGUAUUCAAUCAACACAGCCAGAAAAAAAUAAAAGCAACCAAAUGGCACAAAAUAUCCCAAAGAUUUCUUAAUUAAAAGUGUGCCCUGAAAAGGUUAAAUAGCUUGUCCCGAUGCAACCUUGGAAGCCAUGAGCUUUCAUGCACAUCCUUUUGCAUUGCUAAUAAUUUUUCAGUGAAAUCAGUGUGAGCCUGUCUCACACACGUAUCACAGAUAAAUAACUGUGUCCUAUCGGAGGUGCGGUAAAGGUUAACCAGUCACAAAGUGAGAGAAGCGAGGCUGUAAAAUCGGGAGUGACAGCCCGCAUCGCAACCUGCAGUUCCAAGACAGCAUGUCUGGAAUGAUGCACUACCUGUUGAUUCAUCCCGUUGACUGCUUCCAACUUGCCCGGAAGCGUGUUACCGCAUAAGCAUGAUGCUGAUUACGCAGCAGAAGCGAGGAUGACUAUUUGCCACAGGUGGCAGCUGCAGUCCAGUGCACAAAAUGAUUUCCAUGCAUCAGAGUGUCUGUGUUGAGUCUCUGGUUGAGAACUGCUCUCCUAAGACCUUAAGCCCUCCUUGGGGGAAAUCUCAUUUCCACAUCAUGGGUGCAGAUGCUUCGCGGCAUGAUUGAAAACAAUACAUGCUCAAACAUGCAUCCCGAUCACUGAUGAAAAUAACGCAAUUUAAAAUUAAAAUGAAAAAAAUUCAGUAACGGGUAAUCUAAUUACUUUUAUGUUACCAAACGCCGUUACCAUUUUAGACAAUUGUAAUCUGAUGCAUGUUCAAAUGAAAUUAAACCAUUACCAUAACUAAUCUGUAGCGCAGUGAAAGUGUGAGACUAUUGCAAUAUGGACGAUGUGAGAUAACCACAUAAGCAAUGAGGAUUGGUUCAGAUUUUCGUAAAAUUGCAUCUUGAGCCAAUCAGAGAACUUGAGUGGGUGGGUGUUUAGAGCACAUAAGCAACGAGGAUCGGCUAAGGUUUAUUAAGAUUGCGUUUUCAGCCAAUCAGAGAACUUGGGUGGGCGGGUGUUUAGAGCACAUCCAAACAGCGUUUCCCAAAUGGAAGUACAGACAGUACUUUAACCUUGUUGAUGUCAAAGGUAAAAUGUACUUUAUGCCCCCGAAAAAAAACUUUGUCCACGUCUUGUGUGAACAACUCAAACCCACAGAAACACCUAUGGACUGCAAUAAAUGCAAACCUCUGUAAUGGUACUGUGUGUGGGGGGGUAGUUACUUUUACUGGUAACUAGUGACUUUUGUAUUGGAGUAAGUCAGUUACUUUUUUUUGAGAAGUAGCUAGUAGCUAUAACUAAUUACUUUUUUAAAGUAACGUACCCAACACUGAUCUCGAUACAACACCCCCCCCGAUCUUGAUGCUUCAUAUGUUAGCGACCAUUCAACAAUUGAAACAAAUGCAGCAGGACGUUUGUCAUACCAAAGAGAACUAGCCCUUAGGCAAAGAGAUGAGAUGAGAGAAGAUCUUUUUAAAGUUUGACAUCCAUUUGAUGAUUGACCGCGUGAUUGAAAGUAGAAUAAAAGAAUGUCAAAGUGCCAGCACAAAGUCCAGACCCGACAUUUGGCUCAAAAACAAGGCUGACUUUUGUCAUUUUGUAACUGGGAUGUGGUGCUUGUUAAAGUGGAACAUGCACUGCGAGUAAUUGGACUACAGAGAGCUAUGAGAGACACUAAUUAUUGUAUUUUCGUACAGUUGCUCGCAGUGGCGUGCAGUCAGGUGAUGCAGAUGAAAAAUAAAAAUAAUAAUGAUAACAUAAGUAAAAAUGACCAGUGGUUUAAUUUGACCCAUCACAGCUUGAACAUUGACAGAUUGACAAAUUAAUGGCUUGCAUUACCAUAUAAAAUAUAUAACAACAGAGGGCCGAAAAAAAACAUGCUAUGACGUCCACUCAGAGAACGGUGACGUGACAUUAAUGCAAACUGGCACCUUUGUUCAAAGCACACUUCCACUGGUGGCACUUUGUGUUUGAGAUGCAAAGAGUGUGACAAGCCUGACGUCCUCUCAGCUUUAAAUCAAUCAACAUAUUAUAAUGAAUGCCAUGUGUGCCACUGCCAUGCAUUUGUGUCUGUCACUUGUCAUUUGCUCUCACACAGAUAUUAGACGUACUGGAAACACUUUCCCUCAACGAGACCCUCUCAAUGUCCACACUGUCACCUAUUAAAGUUCAGCUGUUUUAUCCAAAGGCCAGAUAUGUACCUGUAUAUUCAUUUUCAGUGCUAUUUUUUUCAAUAACAUUCAUGUUUAUUAACAGUCUAUAACCACUAGCUCAUGUAUUGUUAUAUGACUUUAUUAUCUUUUUCUUCCCACUGCCUCACAAUAAGAUGUGUAAGAUUCAUUUUUUGAAGUUGAGUUAAUUGUUGUGUCCUCAAUGUAAAGACAGGAGGACAAAAAAUAUAUAUAUUUAAGCCGCAUAAAAUGGCAUAUUGUGGCGUGCACAAGUCCGCGAGGACCAGGCAGGUCUUUAUUUGACAGAAGCAAAUAUACGUACAGCUAUCAGUGCACUCACAAAGGACCUGGAGCCCAGAGGGAGGCUGACGUCAUCACAGCAGCUCAAUGAAUGUGUUGCUCAGAUGCAAUGCCUGAUAGGAAAAUGUUAAAAUAUUUAUGGGUUUUUCCAUUUUAUUUCUCAGGUAUACCUCUGGAGUGUUAAAU